Molecule: ribosomal RNA, 536 nt
Filed under: Hellica nitida
Lineage: Eukaryota; Metazoa; Arthropoda; Insecta; Hemiptera; Acanthosomatidae
Description: partial large subunit ribosomal RNA
Rfam family: Bacterial large subunit ribosomal RNA
Source: RNAcentral
UUUUUUUCAAAAACAUGGCUUAAUUGCAGAUUUAUAUUAAGUCUUACCUGCUCAAUGAUAUUUAUUAUUAAAUAGCCGCAGUAUUUUGACUGUGCAAAGGUAGCAUAAUCAUUUGUCUUUUAAUUGGGGACUUGUAUGAAUGGUUUGAUGAGAUAUUACCUUUCUUUAUAUAAAGAAAUCUAAUUUAAUAUUUUAGUUAAAAAGCUAAAAUGUUUUUAUAGGACGAGAAGACCCUAUAGAAUUUUAUAUUAUUAUUUAUACUUUAUUAUUGGGUAUUACAUAAUUAGUUUAUAAGAUAAUAUUUUGUUGGGGAGACAGGGAAAUUUAUUUAACUUUCUUUAUAUUCUUAAUUAUUUAUUUAUAUAUUUAUGAUCCUAUUUUAAGGAUAACAAGAUUAAAUUACCUUAGGGAUAACAGCGUAAUUCUUUUGGAGAGUUCUUAUCGAUAGAAGAGUUUGCGACCUCGAUGUUGGAUUAAAAUAAGUAUUAGGUGAAGGUGCUUAAUUACUAGGUCUGUUCGACCUUUAAAAUUUUACA